AGUGAACGCUGGCGGUAGGCCUAACACAUGCAAGUCGAACGGCAGCACAGUAAGAGCUUGCUCUUACGGGUGGCGAGUGGCGGAUGGGUGAGGAAUACAUCGGAAUCUACUUUUUCGUGGGGGAUAACGUAGGGAAACUUACGCUAAUACCGCAUACGACCUACGGGUGAAAGCAGGGGAUCUUCGCACCUUGCGCGAUUGAAUGAGCCGAUGUCGGAUUGGCUAGUUGGCGGGGUAAAGGCCCACCAAGGCGACGAUCCGUAGCUGGUCUGAGAGGAUGAUCGGCCACAUGGGAACGGAGACACGGUCAAGACUCCUACGGGAGGCAGCAGUGGGGAAUAUUGGACAAUGGGCGCAAGCCUGAUCCAGCCAUACCGCGUGGGUGAAGAAGGCCUUCGGGUUGUAAAGCCCUUUUGUUGGGAAAGAAAAGCAGCAGGUUAAUACCCCGCUGUUCUGACGGUACCCAAAGAAUAAGCACCGGCUAACUUCGUG
Molecule: ribosomal RNA, 492 nt
Filed under: uncultured bacterium
Lineage: Bacteria
Description: partial 16S ribosomal RNA
Rfam family: Bacterial small subunit ribosomal RNA
Source: RNAcentral